CCUAGGAGACCUGCAGAAUCUUUAAGGAAAAGGAUCUUUACCUCUGAGCCCGGUAACACAAGCCUUCACCAGCUAUGGAAUUGCAUCUGUCUAGGAAAUAUUUGCAAACAAAAAGACUUGCAAGAACUGGGAUCUGAUCCUCCAGGGAUACUUGCCAGACUAUGGUCAUGAAUAAACCCAUCUGGUGACUCUCCAGGCUUAUGUUCAGAUUUACCAGUUCAAUAUUAUGAAGACUAUAGACCUGAUAGAUGUGAGGAUUUGGAGGGGAAGUAAUGGUGGGACAAUAAAGAGGACUUCCACGAUCACUGAUACUUUCAUCUUCAUUCACGUCAUUGUCACCACAUUCUCCUGAAGCAGUUU
Long non-coding RNA from Cygnus atratus (black swan), 360 nucleotides. RefSeq lists it as uncharacterized. The transcript is spliced from 3 exons. The record is from RefSeq and is a predicted model, not a curated record. Lineage: Eukaryota; Metazoa; Chordata; Aves; Anseriformes; Anatidae.